RNAcentral lists this ribosomal RNA (142 nucleotides) under uncultured bacterium. Its description in RNAcentral is "partial 16S rRNA". It matches the Rfam family "Bacterial small subunit ribosomal RNA", at positions 354 to 511 of the family's 1533-position model. The record is from RNAcentral.
UGGGGUAAUUUUCCGCAAUGGGCGAAAGCCUGACGGAGCAAUGCCGCGUGGAGGUGGAAGGCCUACGGGUCGUCAACUUCUUUUCUCGGAGAAGAAACAAUGACGGUAUCUGAGGAAUAAGCAUCGGCUAACUCUGCGCCAG